UACGUAGGGUGCAAGCGUUGUCCGGAAUUAUUGGGCGUAAAGAGCUCGUAGGCGGUUCGUCGCGUCGGCUGUGAAAACCUGAGGCUCAACCUCAGGCCUGCAGUCGAUACGGGCGGACUUGAGUACUGCAGGGAGACUGGAAUUCCUGGUGUAGCGGUGAAAUGACGCAGAUAUCAGGAGGAACACCGGUGGCGAAGGCGGGUCUCUGGGCAGUAACUGACGCUGAGGAGCGAAAGCGUGGGGAGCGAACAGG
This 253-nucleotide ribosomal RNA is filed under the name uncultured bacterium. Its description in RNAcentral is "partial 16S ribosomal RNA". It matches the Rfam family "Bacterial small subunit ribosomal RNA", at positions 524 to 776 of the family's 1533-position model. The record is from RNAcentral.